RNAcentral lists this ribosomal RNA (429 nucleotides) under Chloroflexota bacterium. RNAcentral describes it as "Chloroflexi bacterium partial 16S ribosomal RNA". It matches the Rfam family "Bacterial small subunit ribosomal RNA", at positions 355 to 776 of the family's 1533-position model. The record is from RNAcentral. Lineage: Bacteria; Bacillati; Chloroflexota.
UGGGGAAUAUUGCACAAUGGGCGCAAGCCUGAUGCAGCCAUGCCGCGUGUAUGAAGAAGGCCUUCGGGUUGUAAAGCACUUUCAGCGGGGAGGAAGGCGGUGAGGUUAAUAACCUCAUCGAUUGACGUUACCCGCAGAAGAAGCACCGGCUAACUCCGUGCCAGCAGCCGCGGUAAUACGGAGGGUGCAAGCGUUAAUCGGAAUUACUGGGCGUAAAGCGCACGCAGGCGGUCUGUCAAGUCGGAUGUGAAAUCCCCGGGCUCAACCUGGGAACUGCAUUCGAAACUGGCAGGCUAGAGGCAUGUAGAGGGGGGGAGAAUUCCAGGUGUAGCGGUGAAAUGCGUAGAGAUCUGGAGGAAUACCGGUGGCGAAGGCGGCCCCCUGGACAAAGACUGACGCUCAGGUGCGAAAGCGUGGGGAGCAAACAGG